AAAAGUUGGGUGAAUGGCAUACAGGUGCCUACAAAAUUUUUAGUGGCACACAGGUAACCACCAUCUUUUUUUAAUGGUACGUAGGUAAAGGACUCUCGACAAGGCCGUCGCCGCCCUCUGUUCCCACGGCCUUAGGGAAAAAUGGAAAUGCUACUGCUGUUUUCCCCAUCAUCAGACAAGUUUGUAACUUUACAAUAUCCUUGUGUUAGUAUUCAGAUAUAACAAAUCUUCGAAUUGAAAUAGCAAACAAAAGGAAGCUUUGAAUAUCUGCAGUUCUGGAAAUGCCAACUUCAACCAGUCAAGAGCAGCUCUAAAAUGUGCGUUUGGGCAUUUUGAGAGAUCCAGAAUGUGUACAUUUCGAAAUGAUGAGGUUUUAACAACCUUCCCCAACUCAUUGUAAAGGAUGAUAUAUAUUUCGGUAAUCAACUUGGGAACAUGAACUUUCUAUCCUUUUCAGGGAAACAUUAUGUAAUGUUAUGGCUUGUCGAUAUGCUUGGAUGCUGUUGCAUUCCAUUUUUUAAUAUGUUAAAUUUUGCCAAGGAGUUGCAAAAUUCCAUCACCCAAGUGUAAAAAGUAAAAUACAAUGACAAAUUCUGUCAUGAAGUCCUUUUAAUCCUUUGUUGCCCUCUUAUCUAUUUGUUUGGAAAAGUAAUC
Long non-coding RNA from Oryza brachyantha (malo sina), 654 nucleotides. RefSeq lists it as uncharacterized. Lineage: Eukaryota; Viridiplantae; Streptophyta; Magnoliopsida; Poales; Poaceae. The transcript has 3 exons. The record is from RefSeq and is a predicted model, not a curated record.